ACGAACGCUGGCGGCGUGCUUAACACAUGCCGGUCGAACGGAAAGGCCCUGCUUUUGUGGGGUGCUCGAGUGGCGAACCGGUGAGUAACACGUGAGUAACCUGCCCUUGACUUUGGGAUAACUUCAGGAAACUGGGGCUAAUACCGGAUAGGAGCUCCUGCUGCAUGGUGGGGGUUGGAAAGUUUCGGCGGUUGGGGAUGGACUCGCGGCUUAUCAGCUUGUUGGUGGGGUAGUGGCUUACCAAGGCUUUGACGGGUAGCCGGCCUGAGAGGGUGACCGGCCACAUUGGGACUGAGAUACGGCCCAGACUCCUACGGGAGGCAGCAGUGGGGAAUAUUGCACAAUGGGCGGAAGCCUGAUGCAGCAACGCCGCGUGCGGGAUGACGGCCUUCGGGUUGUAAACCGCUUUCGCCUGUGACGAAGCGUGAGUGACGGUAAUGGGUAAAGAAGCACCGGCUAACUACGUG
This 467-nucleotide ribosomal RNA is filed under the name uncultured bacterium. RNAcentral describes it as "partial 16S ribosomal RNA". It matches the Rfam family "Bacterial small subunit ribosomal RNA", at positions 29 to 507 of the family's 1533-position model. The record is from RNAcentral.